This 301-nucleotide ribosomal RNA is filed under the name uncultured bacterium. RNAcentral's name for it is "partial 16S ribosomal RNA". It matches the Rfam family "Bacterial small subunit ribosomal RNA", at positions 509 to 810 of the family's 1533-position model. The record is from RNAcentral.
CAGCAGCCGGGUAAUACGUAGGUGGCAAGCGUUGUCCGGAAUUAUUGGGCGUAAAGCGCGCGCAGGCGGAUCAGUCAGUCUGUCUUAAAAGUUCGGGGCUUAACCCCGUGAUGGGAUGGAAACUGCUGAUCUAGAGUAUCGGAGAGGAAAGUGGAAUUCCUAGUGUAGCGGUGAAAUGCGUAGAUAUUAGGAAGAACACCAGUGGCGAAGGCGACUUUCUGGACGAAAACUGGCGCUGAGGCUCGAAAGCCAGGGGAGCGAACGGGAUUAGAUACCCCUGUAGUCCCUGUCUCUUAUACAC